AGGAUUUUCGCGAGCGGGCUGUAGGGCGACAUCGGCUUGCCGGUCAGGGCGCGCCAGUCCGGGCGCAGCCGUUCCAGCCGGCGUGAUUCCGC
RNAcentral lists this transfer RNA (92 nucleotides) under candidate division BRC1 bacterium ADurb.BinA292. RNAcentral describes it as "tRNA-Arg". The record is from RNAcentral. Lineage: Bacteria; Candidatus Sumerlaeota.